GUCUCCAGGUGUGAACAUCGGU
Molecule: microRNA, 22 nt
Filed under: Ornithorhynchus anatinus (platypus)
Lineage: Eukaryota; Metazoa; Chordata; Mammalia; Monotremata; Ornithorhynchidae
Description: oan-miR-1403
Source: miRBase by way of RNAcentral